Molecule: ribosomal RNA, 490 nt
Filed under: uncultured bacterium
Lineage: Bacteria
Description: partial 16S ribosomal RNA
Rfam family: Bacterial small subunit ribosomal RNA
Source: RNAcentral
GAUGAACGCUAGCGAUAGGCUUAACACAUGCAAGUCGAGGGGCAGCAUGGUCUUAGCUUGCUAAGACUGAUGGCGACCGGCGCACGGGUGCGUAACGCGUAUGCAACUUGCCUCACAGAGGGGGAUAACCCGUCGAAAGACGGACUAAUACCGCGUACACUCCAUCUUGGGCAUCCAAGGUAGAGGAAAUGAAAUUCGCUGUGAGAUAGGCAUGCGUCCCAUUGGCUAGUUGGUGAGGUAACGGCUCACCAAGGCGACGAUGGGUAGGGGAACUGAGAGGUUGAACCCCCACACUGGUACUGAGACACGGACCAUACUCCUACGGGAGGCAGCAGUGAUGAAUAUGAGUCAAUGGGCGAGAGCCUGAACCAGCCAAGUCGCGUGAAGGAUGACUGUCUUAUGGAUUGUAAACUUCUUUUAUACGGGAAUAACAAGAGUCACGUGUGACUCCCUGCAUGUACCGUAUGAAUAAGCAUCGGCUAACUCCGUG